Non-coding RNA from Doryrhamphus excisus (bluestripe pipefish), 2723 nucleotides. Lineage: Eukaryota; Metazoa; Chordata; Actinopteri; Syngnathiformes; Syngnathidae. The record is from RefSeq and is a predicted model, not a curated record.
UAGCGAGCUUGCAUGACGUCGGGCUAGCAUGGCGGCCUUUCUGACGUAAUACACUCGUCAAACAAUGUCGGGUGUCCAAAAUUAGACUGUACCUGCAGUGACGUGCUGAUGAUGAUGGUUGUUGUCCACCGAGGUUCUUCGGCUGUCGCCAUCAACAGAGAAGAAUUGCCCUGCUUGCAGUCAGUGGUGGGUUUCCAGUUCCACAAUGGUCCACUCCCCCUGUGGUGAAGCUGCAUCUUCUGGGGAGAAGCUAGUCACCGUGAUGCUGGUGGACGAGUCCUCCAGGGGUGAGAUAAGCUCUGCCCAGCGUUUGAACGUCUCCCUCUCUGGGGACAGGAAGGCUUGCGUGUCAAGACAGUCCCGCGACAAGGACAGCGUCUGCUUGAUGAGGUACUGGGCAAGGUUCAGCUCUUCGGGCACCGGAUUUAUGACACCCAGAUUGGACUCAUGUUCCGAGAGGAGUUGCCUGAGCAGGCUCCAGUCCUGCUCGGCAAACCCGAUGCUUUUGUACUCAUCAUCCACUCUCAGCUCUCCUUCCUCUGCCCGAUGUCUCCUGUCUUUGUCCAUGCAGUGCGCAAACGUUUCUCCCGCAUCCGUCUCGUAAAUGGGGGAGAGGGCUUUGGAUGGCGUCCGCUCAUGAUUGCCGCUUAGAUCCAAUCUGUCACAAGCAAUGUCGCCUAAAAACAAUUGACAAUACUGCAAAAUGACAAAAGUGUAUCACAAGCUCACAAGUCUUUUUUGUUUUUAACAUUUCAGAGAUAAACCACUGCCGGCGACAACAACACAGAAUACUGUAGCCUGAGUGCAGCUUUAAUACACUUCCCACAGUGAAACAGACUAGGAAGCAGUGACUUUAAUGGCUGCAUUUACAGUGAAGUAGAGUAGAGAGGAACACACUUCUGAAUGCAUCUAAAAAAAAAAAAGCCAUGCAUUGCACGCACCAGUCUAUGUGCAAUUUCUUUUGAGAAGACCUAAUAAACAGCAGAAAAUGUAAGCUCUCAUAGAUAUUCUUAGUUUUUUCGUCUUCAAAAUGCAAACUAUGUUGUAGUUCAGCAGGUUUUCUCUCUUUUGACAGUGGAAAAAAAGCGACACAUGAGAGCUUCUCUAGAUAGGCAUAAGGUACAAUACAGAGACUACGCAAUGUCGCUCCAGCAUAAGCAAAUAGACAACAGACCAUUGUUUUUUAUCUCUUAAGCAUCAGGACACAAGUCUACCAGGCACAACAGAAGAUCAUGACAAACACAAAAAAAAUGGAUGUCGGGGAACAUGCAUGUGUGCAGUGCAAAAUAAUAAAAACUCACUCUAGGUGUCGUCACAGUCAAAAUAAAGAGCAACCAGGAGAUGCAAAGCAAAAGGUUUCCCAGCCCACUCUUUAAAAAAAAAAAAAAAAAGAAACAAGCAGUGCAAAUUGACUCCAAUUACUUUUUUAUGUCAUCUUGUUCUGCUACAGAAUAUAAAAUAAAUCAGAUUGUAUGAAAAAUAUACUGUAAACAUUUUUAAUCGUUAUCACAUAUAGCAUUUCAGCAACGUUUUUGUACAGUUAAAGUUAACUAGAGCGGAACACCAAUAUUAGGAAGUAAUGACAUUAAAAUAUAGAUUUUUAGCACAAUCAUCUUUGGUUACCAGUGGCUGUCAAUCAUCUGCCAGUGUUUGGCAGACUGUUUACGUGCAAGCUGGGUCAGAGGCUGUAAUAACCAAAACAAACAUUUAAGCCAGGGGUGUCCAAACGUUUUCCAGCGAGGCCUACAUACUAAGAAAUUUAAAGAUUCGGUGUACCAUUUUGGUACAUUUUGUACAUUAAAGGAGCCCUGCUCAUCUCAGGCACUUUUAAAAUUGUGUUGGAUAGAGUACUCCAGAAAAUAAGCUGUGCACAGGAUAAAUCUGCAUUCUUCUCCUCUGACACGUUCUGAUAACACAACCUGCUUCCUGACCAUGCCUACUCUGUUACCAUAGGUAGGUGUCCGUUUCACAGUACUAUGGUGCAUUAAAGGGCUCCUGAACAAAGUGCAAAAUCUGAAUGCUUGUUGAAAUACAUUAUCGGUAAAGCAUAAAGACAUAAACAUAACUGUGCUACAUGUAUGCUGCGCAUUUUACAUGUAUUAUCAAGUAUGUAGAAAUUAUUACAGACUUUUGGUGAAUGACAAAAAAUACUGCUAUAUUCUGAGAAAAAAAAAAUUAAAACUUCUAGGGAUGUGAGGCUGAAUUGCGAAUGUGCUGGGAUCCACUUUACACAAUUAUAAAAAGUUGAAAGUGGAGGAUAGGCCCCCUUUUUAAAGUUGAUAAACCAAUCCAUUACAACUGAAUACAUGCUAGCCUAUCUGAGCAAAACAUCCACAUCUUAGAUUUAUAUUAUCCGACAAAGCCCAUUAUUGUGCUUUCUAGUAACGUACAGUAUAUAAUUAAUACUGAAUAAUUUUUUUAUGAUUUGCCAACAGCCAAAAAAAAAACAAGGUGCAGGCUGAAAAAGGACACCCCUGGAUUAAUCCUUGGAAGAGGUUUUCUUCUGUGCUUUUGUAAACAAUGCAGUCAGAGCACCUUGUGCUGAAAAAAAACUUGCAUCAUAACUUCAAAGUGACUACAGUGUGUUUAUAUUAAAAUGCUAUAUGUGGCAACCUCAGUCGGGAGAGGUCCAAUCCCUCGCUGCUCAAAAAGUGAGUGAAAUAAAUCAUAAAAAUAAGAAAGUUCUUAUGUGCGUAGAAGUGCGUUUUGGGGCAACUAACACA